Molecule: ribosomal RNA, 452 nt
Filed under: uncultured bacterium
Lineage: Bacteria
Description: bacterial SSU rRNA
Rfam family: Bacterial small subunit ribosomal RNA
Source: RNAcentral
UACGGAAGGCAGCAGUGGGGAAUAUUGCACAAUGGGCGCAAGCCUGAUGCAGCCAUGCCGCGUGUAUGAAGAAGGCCUUCGGGUUGUAAAGUACUUUCAGUCGUGAGGAAGGUGUUAAGGUUAAUAACCUUAGCAAUUGACGUUAGCGACAGAAGAAGCACCGGCUAACUCCGUGCCAGCAGCCGCGGUAAUACGGAGGGUGCGAGCGUUAAUCGGAAUUACUGGGCGUAAAGGGCACGCAGGCGGUUAAUUAAGUUGGAUGUGAAAUCCCCGGGCUUAACCUGGGAAUGGCAUUCAAGACUGGUUAGCUAGAGUCUUGUAGAGGGGGUAGAAUUCCAUGUGUAGCGGUGAAAUGCGUAGAGAUGUGGAGGAAUACCGGUGGCGAAGGCGCCCUCGGACAAGACUGACGCUCAUGUGCGAAAGCGUGGGGAGGCAAACAGGGAUUAGAUACC